GAUGAAGAACGCAGCGAAAUGCGAUAAGUAAUGUGAAUUGCAGAAUUCAGUGAAUCAUCGAGUCUUUGAACGCACCUUGCGCCCUUUGGCUAUUCUGAAGGGCAUGCCUGUUUGAGUAUCAUGAACACCUCAACUCUCAUGGUUCGCCAUGAUGAGCUUGGACUUUGGGGGUCUUGCUGGCCUACGGUCGGCUCCUCUCAAAUGAAUCAGCUUGCCAGUGUUUGGUAGAGUGGCAGGUGUGAUAACUAUCUACGCUUGUGGUUUUCUGCCAGAUAACCUUCAGUGAUGGAGGUUCGCUGGAGCUUAUAAAUGUCUCUCCCCAGUGAGGACAGCUUUUUGAACGUUUGAUCUCAAAUCAGGUAGGACUACCCGCUGAACUUAAGCAUAUCAAUAAGCGGAGGA
Molecule: unclassified non-coding RNA, 402 nt
Filed under: soil metagenome
Description: partial contains 5.8S ribosomal RNA, internal transcribed spacer 2, and large subunit ribosomal RNA
Rfam family: 5.8S ribosomal RNA (bases 1-121)
Source: RNAcentral